This 501-nucleotide ribosomal RNA is filed under the name uncultured soil bacterium. Its description in RNAcentral is "bacterial SSU rRNA". It matches the Rfam family "Bacterial small subunit ribosomal RNA", at positions 8 to 496 of the family's 1533-position model. The record is from RNAcentral.
AGAGUUUGAUCCUGGCUCAGGACGAACGCUGGCGGCGCGCUUAACACAUGCAAGUCGAGCGAGAACCCAGGCUUCGGCCUGGGGGACAGCGGCGAACGGGUGAGUAUCACGUGGGUAAUCUGCCCUUGGCAUCGGGAUAGCCCGGGGAAACCCGGAUUAAUACCGAAUGGCCCAGCAGCUCUUCGGAGCGGCUGGAAAAGGUAGCUUCGGCCUCCGGCCGAGGAGGAGCCCGCGGCGGAUUAGCUUGUUGGUGAGGUAACGGCUCACCAAGGCUCCGAUCCGUAGCUGGUCUGAGAGGACGAUCAGCCACACUGGGACUGAGACACGGCCCAGACUCCUACGGGAGGCAGCAGUGGGGAAUCUUGCGCAAUGGGCGAAAGCCUGACGCAGCGACGCCGCGUGAGGGAAGAAGGCCUUCGGGUUGUAAACCUCUUUCAGGAGGGACGAAGCCACUCGGGUUAAUAGCCCAGAGGGUGACGGUACCUCCAGAAGAAGGCCCCU